GUAGUUCUAGGCUGGAGGAGCAGUGCAGGAGACCAGAGAAAAGUGAACUUAUUCAAGUACAUAUAUUCUAGAAGGUCUUCAAAACUGUUGAAAAGGAGUGUAGGGGGAACUUACCCAGUCACUUAAUGAGCUAUUCUUUGAAAAAUGUCCUGGGUACCUUCAACCAGAAAAAUAUGCUAAAAAAGAAAAGUCCUUAGUGUCUUGCCAAACUAGGUCUUGAAGUAAUGGCAUGAAGAAAAUAUAGAAGUCGAUUACAGUGUCAGAGAAAUGGAGCUUCAUUAACUCUAAUAAAAAUAGAUAAAUAUGAUCCACGCGCUUCUGGAGAAGUCGCUCAGGUUGUUCGAGACAGAUGCUCUGUAGCCACAUCAACUGGAGAGCAUCACAGAAAAAGUAUCCGCGGAUGUUUUCAACCAGGCAAUAGGAAGGCAGCGAAGCAACGAUUCAAGACUCUUCACAAAAGAGGCGAAAAGAGAGACGUUUUCAGUUUUGACCCACCCAGACCCCACCCUUCGGUUGCAUCCAUCACACAGUCAUUACAAAGGGGCAGCGCUGUCACACUGCCUGCCCUGCUCCCGGGGCUCUCGGGCUGGCUUAAUGAAGUGCACCCAGCCGGGGCUAUUGUGCAGCGCGAAUGA
Molecule: long non-coding RNA, 635 nt
Filed under: Bos grunniens (domestic yak)
Lineage: Eukaryota; Metazoa; Chordata; Mammalia; Artiodactyla; Bovidae
Description: lncRNA (ENSBGRG00000002748.1)
Source: RNAcentral